AACUGCAUCGGAAACUGUUUUUCUUGAGUGCAGAAGAGGAGAGUGGAACUCCAUGUGUAGCGGUGGAAUGCGUAGAUAUAUGGAAGAACACCAGUGGCGAAGGCGGCUCUCUGGUCUGCAACUGACGCUGAGGCUCGAAAGCAUGGGUAGCGAACAGGAUUAGAUACCCUGGUAGUCCAUGCCGUAAACGAUGAGUGCUAAGUGUUGGGAGGUUUCCGCCUCUCAGUGCUGCAGCUAACGCAUUAAGCACUCCGCCUGGGGAGUACGACCGCAAGGUUGAAACUCAAAGGAAUUGACGGGGGCCCGCACAAGCGGUGGAGCAUGUGGUUUAAUUCGAAGCAACGCGAAGAACCUUACCAGGUCUUGACAUCUAGUGCAAUCUGUAGAGAUACGGAGUUCCC
This 401-nucleotide ribosomal RNA is filed under the name Lactobacillus kitasatonis. Its description in RNAcentral is "bacterial SSU rRNA". It matches the Rfam family "Bacterial small subunit ribosomal RNA", at positions 619 to 1018 of the family's 1533-position model. The record is from RNAcentral. Lineage: Bacteria; Bacillati; Bacillota; Bacilli; Lactobacillales; Lactobacillaceae.